RNAcentral lists this unclassified non-coding RNA (247 nucleotides) under Bipolaris microstegii. RNAcentral's name for it is "partial internal transcribed spacer region". The stretch from base 1 to 46 matches the Rfam family "Eukaryotic small subunit ribosomal RNA", at positions 1786 to 1831 of the family's 1831-position model. The record is from RNAcentral. Lineage: Eukaryota; Fungi; Ascomycota; Dothideomycetes; Pleosporales; Pleosporaceae.
AAGUCGUAACAAGGUCUCCGUAGGUGAACCUGCGGAGGGAUCAUUACACAACAAAAUAUGAAGGCCUGGCUUCGCGGCCGGCUGAAAUAUUUUUUCACCCAUGUCUUUUGCGCACUUGUUGUUUCCUGGGCGGGUUCGCCCGCCACCAGGACCAAACCAUAAACCUUUUUUUUUAUGCAGUUACCAUCAGCGUCAGUAAAAACAAUGUAAUUAAUUACAACUUUCAACAACGGAUCUCUUGGUUCUG